AGGGCGCAUGGUGGAUGCCUUGGCGCCAGAAGUCGAUGAAGGACGCGGCCAGCGGCGAUACGCCACGGGGAGGUGCAAGCAACCUUUGAUCCGUGGAUGUCCGAAUGGGGAAACCCCCUGGAGUGAUAAACUCCAGGACGGCAGCAUGAAGGCCACCGCGCAAGCGGGGGUUAUAGUGAUGUCGAGACAACCCAGGGAAAUGAAACAUCUUAGUACCUGGAGGAAGAGAAAUCAACCGAGAUUCCCUCAGUAGUGGCGAGCGAACGGGGAACAGCCCAAACCCAUCCUAUGAUGGGUGUUGUAGGGCUCACCACCGCCGCAAGGCGGGAGGAGUAAAAAAACGGAAUGUUAGUCGAACGGUCUGGAAAGGCCGACCACAGAGGGUGAGAGUCCCGUAGGCGAAAAUGUUCCGACUCCUGGUGAGUUCCUGAGUAUCACCGGGCACGUGAAAUCCGGUGAGAAACUGGGGAGACCACUCUCCAAGGCUAAAUACUCUCUGGCGACCGAUAGUGCACAAGUACCGCGAGGGAAAGGUGAAAAGGACCUCUGACGAGGAGUGAAAAGAACCUGAAACCGUGCGUUUACAAGCAGCGGAAGAGCUAUGUCCGAAGUCCGCAAGGACGACGGAAAUGCCCGACCGCGUGCCUGUUGAAGAAUGAUCCGGCGAGUUAUUGGUGCAAGCGAGGUUAACCCCGUUGUGCAAGCACCGGGGGAAGCCGUAGCGAAAGCAAGUCCGAAAGGGCGACAUAGUUUGCAUCAAUAGACCCGAAACCAGUCGAUCUAACCCUGGACAGGGUGAAGUCCCAGUAACAUGGGAUGGAGGCCCGAAGCGUUAACUGUUGAAGAAGUUCUGCAUGAGCUGGGGUUAGGGGUGAAAGGCCAAUCGAGGCUGGAGAUAGCUGGUUCUCCCCGAAAUAGUUUUAGGACUAGCCUGGCAUGAUGAUGAGUGGGGGUAGAGCACUGGAUAGUGUAGGGCCUAUUACCUAGGUUCCGAAUCUAACCAAACUCCGAAUACCAUUCAAGUAAUGCUGGAGUCAGUACACGAGGGCUAAGCUUCGUGGGCGAGAGGGAAACAUCCCAGACCGUCGUCUAAGGUCCCUAAAUUCAGGUUAAGUGGUAAAGGUUGUGGAUUUACACUGACAGCGAGGAGGUUGGCUUAGAAGCAGCCAUCCUUUAAAGAGUGCGUAACAGCUCACUCGUCAAGUGAGUCCGCGCCGAAAAUUAACGGGGCUCAAACCUGAUACCGAAGUCACGGCUGUACGGUUCAUGAACCAUGUUCAUGAACUUGUGUUUUAGUCGGGGGUGUUUGAUUGCUGUAGCAUAAGGGAUCAACCAUCCCUUGACCUAAAAUUACGAGGUCUGUGAGCAUAGUUCAUGGACCGUACGGAGUAGGGGAAGCGUUCCGUAUUAGGAUGAAGGCACACCGGAAGGAGUGCUGGACGAAACGGAAGUGAGGAUGUCGGAAUAAGUAGCGAUAAGGUCUGUGAGAAUCAGACCCGCCGCAAGCCCAAGGUUUCCUUGAGUAAAGUUCGUCUGCUCAGGGUCAGUCGGUCCUAAGUCGAGGCCGAAAGGCGUAGAUGAUGGGCAUCAGGUUAAUAUUCCUGAACCGCAUUGUGUGUGUUACGAACGUUGAAGCGACGCAGAAGGGUAAGCCAGCCAUCGAUUGGAUGUGAUGGUUCAAGCUCGUAGGGAGAUCGCCCAGGCAAAUCCGGGUGGUCGUUAAUCCCGAGAGGUGAGCACGACCUUGCCGCAAGGUGAGGGAAGUGGCCCAACCACGCUGCCCAGAAAACCUUCGACGUCAAUACACAGUGUGUCCGUACCGUAAACCGACACAGGUGGGCGAGGAGAAAAUCCUCAGGCGCGCGAGCGAACUCUCGCUUAGGAACUAGGCAAACUGGCCCCGUAACUUCGGAAGAAGGGGUGCCCUAUUUCUUGAACCCGUACAGGGGGAGGGAAAUGGGGCCGCAGUGAAUGGGCUCUCGUGACUGUUUAACAAAAACACAGGACUCUGCUGAAAUCACAAGAUGAUGUAUAGGGUCUGACGCCUGCCCGGUGCCGGAAGGUCAUGGAGAGGUGUUAGCCGCAAGGCGAAGCACUGAACUUAAGCCCCGGUAAACGGCGGCCGUAACUAUAACGGUCCUAAGGUAGCGAAAUUCCUUGUCGGGUAAGUUCCGACCUGCACGAAUGGCGUAACAAAGAGAGCGCUGUCUUGGCGAGAGGCUCGGCGAAAUUGUGGUAUCCGUGAAGACGCGGAUUACCCGCGGUUAGACGAAAAGACCCCAUGAAGCUUUACUGUAACUUGUUAUUGCGUUUUGGGAUUGGAUACGUAGGAUAGGUGGGAGGCGUUGAUGUCCCGGUUUUGGCCGGGGCGGAGCCAACCUUGAAAUACCACCUUUCUAGUUCUGAGACGCUAACCUCGAACCCUCAUUAAACAGGGCGGGGGACAGUGGCAGGCUGGCAGUUUAACUGGGGCGGUUGCCUCCAAAAGAGUAACGGAGGCGUCCAAAGGUUCCCUCAGGGCGAAUAGAAAUCGCCUGUCGAGUGCAAGAGCAGAAGGGAGCUUAACUGCAAGGCCUACAAGCCGAGCAGAUGGGAAACCAGGGUCUAGUGAUCCGGUGGUUGAAUGUGGAAUUGCCAUCGCUCAACGGACAAAAGCUACUCUGGGGAUAACAGGCUUAUAGGAUCCAAGAGCCCAUAUCGACGAUCCUGUUUGGCACCUCGAUGUCGGCUCAUCGCAUCCUCCCGCUGAAGCAGGUGGGAAGGGUUGGGCUGUUCGCCCAUUAAAGCGGUACGUGAGCUGGGUUCAGUACGUCGUGAGACAGUACGGUCUCUAUCUACCGUGGGCGCAGGAAUCUUGAGGGUGAGUCGUCUCUAGUACGAGAGGACCGAGAUGAACGCACCUCUGGCGUACCGGUUGGCCCGCCAGGGCCAUGGCCGGAUAAACUACUGUGCGGACGGGAUAAACGCUGAAAGCAUCUAAGCGUGAAGCCCACCCCAAGAUGAAGAUUCCCCACUCAUUAUGAGUGU
RNAcentral lists this ribosomal RNA (3027 nucleotides) under activated sludge metagenome. RNAcentral describes it as "bacterial LSU rRNA". It matches the Rfam family "Bacterial large subunit ribosomal RNA". The record is from RNAcentral.